Molecule: ribosomal RNA, 253 nt
Filed under: uncultured bacterium
Lineage: Bacteria
Description: partial 16S ribosomal RNA
Rfam family: Bacterial small subunit ribosomal RNA
Source: RNAcentral
UACGUAGGGGCAAGCGUUGUCCGGAAUCAUUUGGGCGUAAAGAGCGUGUAGGCGGCCUGGUAAGUCCGCUGUGAAAGUCCAGGGCUCAACCCUGGAAUGCCGGUGGAAACUGUCAGGCUCGAGUCCGGAAGAGGCGAGUGGAAUUCCUGGUGUAGCGGUGAAAUGCGCAGAUAUCAGGAGGAACACCAAUGGCGAAGGCAGCUCGCUGGGACGGUACUGACGCUGAGACGCGAAAGCGUGGGGAGCAAACAGG